AGUGAAACCCAGUCUCUGCUAAAAAUACAAAAUUAGCCGGGCGUGCCAUCUCAAACAAAAACAAAGAAACAGAAACUAUCAGUUUCACUUGAAAACAUGCUCCGCAUCAGUCCUCAGGGAAAUGCAAAUCAAAGCCAUGGUGAGAUACCACUUCACACCCAGUAGGAUGGCUAGAAUUAAAAAAACCAAAACAACAAACAAUCACAAGGGCUCACGGGGAGGUAGAGACACGGGGAUCCUCAUGCGUCGCUGCUGGGAACAUCAUGUGGUACAGCUGCUCUGGAAACAGCCUGGCAGUUCCUGAAGUGGUUACAUACAGUGUUUCCAUAUGACCCUGUGAGUUGACUCCUAGACGUACACCUAAGGGAAGUGAAAGCGUAUGUCCACACAAACACUGCGCAAGAAGGAUCUGGCCCGGUGAUGUGGCUAAUGCUAGUGAUCCCAGCGCUUUGGGAGGCCGAGGUGGGAGGAUCACUUGAGUCCAAGAGUUGGAGACCGGCUGGGUGAGGUUGCUCACGCCUGCAAUCCCAGCACUUUGGGAGGCCGAGGCGGGCGGAUCAUGAGGUCAGGAGAUCGAAGCCAUCCUGACUAAUAUGGUGAAACCCCAUCUCUACUAAAAGGACAAAAAAUUAGCCGGGCGUGGUGGCGGGCGCCUGUAGUCCCAGCUACUCGGGAGGCUGAGGCAGGAGAAUCGCUUGAACCUGGGAGGUGGAGGUUGCAGUGAGCCGAGAUCGUGCCACUGCAUUCCAGCCUGGGCAACAGAGCAAGACUCCGUCUCAAAAACAAUAAAAUAAAAAAAGUUGGUUGCUACAAAAAAAAUAAAAAUAAAAAUUAGCCAGGCCUGCUGGGGCACACCUGUAGUCCCAGCUACUUGGGAGGGUUACACAGGAGGAUCAAAGAAACAAAAACUGUCGGUUUCACUUCAAAACAUGCUCCGCGUCAGUCCUCAGGGAAAUGCAAAUCAGAGCCAUGGUGAGAUACCACUUCACGCCCAGUAAGAUGGCUAGAAUUAAAAA
Molecule: long non-coding RNA, 1016 nt
Filed under: Homo sapiens (human)
Lineage: Eukaryota; Metazoa; Chordata; Mammalia; Primates; Hominidae
Description: non-protein coding lnc-DIRAS1-1:1
Source: RNAcentral